GGCGUGAGUGCUAGAGCCGGGAGUCGAACUCCCGACCCGUGCGUUCGCUCAGCGAACCACCCGAGCUAACGCUCGUUCUCCCACAUGCCAUCAGCUGUUCUCCCCCUCCCGUUGCUUGGACAGAGCGAGCUCACCGCGUGGCCGCUGAUGCCUGGGCGCCGCCCAUGCCACUAUGCCAGCCAACCCGUGGCCAUCACCGAGCCGGCCUUAUCCCACCCGGCUCUCCUCUCUGCUCCCUCACCCCCUCCCUCACCUUUCUCCACAGCCGAGCACAGGGAAGAUCGAGCACUGAGCAGCGCCGCCGCCGAUCCCAAAUCCACCGUAACCGCACACGGAUCCGUCCAGCUACCCCUCGUACCGGAUCGAGCCCGUGGUAAGCUUUACCGAGCUCCCCUCUGCCUUCCGCCGGGGCCAAACCUUCUUCGGCCCGGCACUGGCGCGGCUGGCUUCGCGCGCCGGGCGCCGCCACCUUCGGCCGACCGUCACCGACCAAGCUCUGAUCCGGGCCGAGAUUCGGCCGGAAUUGCCACCGGCGCUGUCACCGGCGAGCUCUCCGGCAAGCCCACGGCGCGUUUCACUGGGGUCAACCAUCCGGUCCAGUCAGAGCACUCCGGUCCCACGUCCAUGCUCUCGGGCUAGCAUAGUCUCGGUCGAAGAAGUUGGGCGCUGUACUGUGCAGUCGGCUGAAUAAACAAACGCAGAAUAGGAUAUAUUGAUGUAUGGUUAAAUCGUCUGAAAUGGUGUAAAAUGCAUAGAAAAUUCACUAUAGCUCCAAAAAUUGUAAAACCAAUUUUUUUAGCUCUAUAUGAUAUUAUUAUACUGUAUAAAAAUGUUGUGUCUCAUGUUAAUGGCAUUUUAAUUUCUGUAUCAA
Molecule: RNA transcript, 871 nt
Organism: Phragmites australis (common reed)
Lineage: Eukaryota; Viridiplantae; Streptophyta; Magnoliopsida; Poales; Poaceae
Exons: 2
Source: RefSeq, a predicted model, not a curated record